UACAGAGGUCCCGAGCGUUGUUCGGAUUCACUGGGCGUAAAGGGUGCGUAGGUGGCUUGAAAAGUUUGAUGUGAAAGCUCAGGGCUUAACCCUGAAAUGGCAUUGAAUACUGUCGGGCUGGAGGUUUGGAGGGGGGACUGGAAUUCUUGGUGUAGCAGUGAAAUGCGUAGAUAUCAAGAGGAACACCAGUGGCGAAGGCGAGUCCCUGGACCGGUACUGACGCUGAAGCGCGAAAGCGUGGGGAGCAAACGGG
Molecule: ribosomal RNA, 253 nt
Filed under: uncultured bacterium
Lineage: Bacteria
Description: partial 16S ribosomal RNA
Rfam family: Bacterial small subunit ribosomal RNA
Source: RNAcentral